GAUACCCGCUGAACUUAAGCAUAUCAAUAAGCGGAGGAAAAGAAACCAACCGGGAUUGCCUCAGUAACGGCGAGUGAAGCGGCAAAAGCUCAAAUUUGAAAUCUGGCUCCUUCGGGGUCCGAGUUGUAAUUUGCAGAGGAUGCUUCGGUUGCGGCCCCCAUCUAAGUACCCUGGAACGGGUCGUCAUAGAGGGUGAGAAUCCCGUAUGGGAUGGGGUGUCCGCGUCCGUGUGAAGCUCCUUCGACGAGUCGAGUUGUUUGGGAAUGCAGCUCUAAAUGGGUGGUAAAUUUCAUCUAAAGCUAAAUACUGGCCGGAGACCGAUAGCGCACAAGUAGAGUGAUCGAAAGAUGAAAAGCACUUUGAAAAGAGAGUUAAACAGCACGUGAAAUUGUUGAAAGGGAAGCGCUUGCGAUCAGACUCGCCUACGGGGUUCAGCCGGCUUUCGGGCCGGUGUACUUCCCCGUGGGCGGGCCAGCGUCGGUUUGGGCGGCCGGUCAAAGGCCCCUGGAAUGUAGCGCCUCUCGGGGCGCCUUAUAGCCAGGGGUGCAAUGCGGCCUGCCUGGACCGAGGAACGCGCUUCGGCACGGACGCUGGCAUAAUGGUCGUAAGCGACC
This 614-nucleotide ribosomal RNA is filed under the name Aspergillus dimorphicus. Its description in RNAcentral is "eukaryotic LSU rRNA". It matches the Rfam family "Eukaryotic large subunit ribosomal RNA", at positions 21 to 649 of the family's 3401-position model. Lineage: Eukaryota; Fungi; Ascomycota; Eurotiomycetes; Eurotiales; Aspergillaceae. The record is from RNAcentral.